This 435-nucleotide ribosomal RNA is filed under the name uncultured bacterium. RNAcentral describes it as "bacterial SSU rRNA". It matches the Rfam family "Bacterial small subunit ribosomal RNA", at positions 29 to 507 of the family's 1533-position model. The record is from RNAcentral.
AGCGAACGCUGGCGGCAGGCUUAACACAUGCAAGUCGAACGGGCGUAGCAAUACGUCAGUGGCAGACGGGUGAGUAACACGUGGGAACGUACCCUUUGGUUCGGAACAACACAGGGAAACUUGUGCUAAUACCGGAUAAGCCCUUACGGGGAAAGAUUUAUCGCCGAAGGAUCGGCCCGCGUCUGAUUAGCUUGUUGGUGAGGUAAUGGCUCACCAAGGCGACGAUCAGUAGCUGGUCUGAGAGGAUGAUCAGCCACACUGGGACUGAGACACGGCCCAGACUCCUACGGGAGGCAGUAGUGGGGAAUAUUGGACAAUGGGCGCAAGCCUGAUCCAGCCAUGCCGCGUGAGUGAUGAAGGCCCUAGGGUUGUAAAGCUCUUUUGGCGGGGAAGAUAAUGACGGUACCCGCAGAAUAAGCCCCGGCUAACUUCGUG